CCUACGGGAGGCAGCAGUGGGGGAUAUUGCACAAUGGGGGAAACCCUGAUGCAGCCACGCCGCGUGGGCGAAUAAGUAUUUCGGUAUGGAAAGCCCUAUUAGCAGGGAAGAAGAGAUGAUGAUACCUGCGUAAGAAGCACCGGCCAAAUACGUGCCAGCAGCCGGGGUAAUACGUAUGGUUCAAGCGUUAUCCGGAUUUACUGGGGGUAAAGGGAGCGCAGGCGGGACAGCAAUCCUGAUGUGAAAGCCCGCGGCCCAACCGCGGGACUGCCGUUGGAACUGCGGGGCUGGAGUGCCGGAGAGGUAGGCGGAAUGCCUAGUGUAGCGGUGAAAUGCGUAGAUAUUAGGAGGAACACCGGUGGCGAAGGCGGCCUACUGGACGGUGACUGACGCUGAGGCUCGAAAGUGUGGGGAGCAAACAGGAUUAGAUACCCUGGUAGUC
This 442-nucleotide ribosomal RNA is filed under the name uncultured bacterium. RNAcentral's name for it is "partial 16S ribosomal RNA". It matches the Rfam family "Bacterial small subunit ribosomal RNA", at positions 338 to 795 of the family's 1533-position model. The record is from RNAcentral.